UCCGCAGAUCUCUGAUAUUUCCUCCUCUCGCCCAACACACCCUACCCAGUUACUGACUACGUAACCAAACCCCAUAGGCUCUCUCCCCGCUGACCUCAUUUCCCAUCCCCUACCUAAUAUAAGCUGCAACCCCGCUCAAUAAAGUGAGAUCCUGCUUCGACAGAUCCCCCGAGUCUGGUGUGGUUCGUUAAUGCGCCUGGACUCGCGACACUCGCCAUCCCGCUCAGCCCCAAGGGGAGCUACCGGCUGGCCCGGACGCUCUCCUCGUGCCUGUCGGCCCGCAAAACCUACCGGAGUCCGACAAGGCUUUUUCAGAAAAAGUGACUUCUCAAUCCUUUCCCAGAGCACCUAA
Molecule: long non-coding RNA, 352 nt
Filed under: Mustela putorius furo (domestic ferret)
Lineage: Eukaryota; Metazoa; Chordata; Mammalia; Carnivora; Mustelidae
Description: lncRNA (ENSMPUG00000029200.1)
Source: RNAcentral